AGAUGCGGCCCAGUUUCAGGUGCCUGCUGCCGCCGUGCAGCAGGUGAAACGGGAAGCCGGUGCGUCUUGCAUGACUAGUCCGGCGCUGCCCCCGCAACGGUAAGCGAGUGAAGCAUCCAACAGGCCACUGUGCGCAACGCAUGGGAAGGCGGAUGACUUCGAGCCUCGCAAGCCCGGAGACCGGCCUGCAAACCCACGACUGU
RNAcentral lists this non-coding RNA (203 nucleotides) under Pseudomonas putida. Lineage: Bacteria; Pseudomonadati; Pseudomonadota; Gammaproteobacteria; Pseudomonadales; Pseudomonadaceae. The record is from RNAcentral.